Molecule: ribosomal RNA, 582 nt
Filed under: Chaetothyriales sp. AR-2010
Lineage: Eukaryota; Fungi; Ascomycota; Eurotiomycetes; Chaetothyriales
Description: eukaryotic LSU rRNA
Rfam family: 5.8S ribosomal RNA (bases 222-375)
Source: RNAcentral
GGAAGUAAAAGUCGUAACAAGGUUUCCGUAGGUGAACCUGCGGAAGGAUCAUUACAGAGUACGGUGCCCUCGGGCGCCCACUCCAACCCUUUGUCUACCGAAAGUCGUUGCCUUGGCGGGCCGGCGUCACACACGCUACCGGUUCACGCCGGCCAGUGCCCGCCAAAGGAACCGCAAAAUCUGCUCACGGUGUCGUCCGAGUAAAUAUACAAAUAAAUCAAAACUUUCAACAACGGAUCUCUUGGUUCUGGCAUCGAUGAAGAACGCAGCGAAAUGCGAUAAGUAAUGUGAAUUGCAGAAUUCAGUGAAUCAUCGAAUCUUUGAACGCACAUUGCGCCCCCUGGCAUUCCGGGGGGCAUGCCUGUUCGAGCGUCAUUUUACCACUCAAGCCCCGCUUGGUGUUGGGUGCCGGCCUGGUGACAGGCCCGCCCGUAACUCGUCGAGACGGCGGCCGCCGGCCCUGAGCGUGACAGAAUCUCGCCGCGGGUCGGUCGGUAGACCGUCGCUAAACGUACACCUAAAGUUUGACCUCGGAUCAGGUAGGGAUACCCGCUGAACUUAAGCAUAUCAAUAAGCGGAGGA